GUUUCAAUUCCUCAUAGGCUCGGCGUUAUA
Molecule: small RNA, 30 nt
Filed under: Acididesulfobacillus acetoxydans
Lineage: Bacteria; Bacillati; Bacillota; Clostridia; Eubacteriales; Peptococcaceae
Description: CRISPR repeat
Source: RNAcentral